UACGUAGGGUGCAAGCGUUGUCCGGAUUUAUUGGGCGUAAAGAGCUCGUAGGCGGUCUGUCGCGUCGGCUGUGAAAGCCCGGGGCUCAACCCCGGGUCUGCAGUCGAUACGGGCAGGCUAGAGUGCGGUAGGGGAGACUGGAAUUCCUGGUGUAGCGGUGAAAUGCGCAGAUAUCGGGAAGAACACCCGUGGCGAAGGCGGCUCUCUGGGACGGUACUGACGCUGAGACGCGAAAGCGUGGGGAGCGAACAGG
Molecule: ribosomal RNA, 253 nt
Filed under: uncultured bacterium
Lineage: Bacteria
Description: partial 16S ribosomal RNA
Rfam family: Bacterial small subunit ribosomal RNA
Source: RNAcentral